GGACUGAGAGGUUGAAACGGCCACAUUUGGGACUGAGACACGGCCCAGACUCCUACGGGAGGCAGCAGUGGGGGAUAUUGCACAAUGGGGGAAACCCUGAUGCAGCAACGCCGCGUGUGGGAAGAAGGUUUUCGGAUUGUAAACCACUGUUCUUGGUGAAGAUAAUGACGGUAACCAAGGAGAAAGCUCCGGCUAACUACGUGCCAGCAGCCGCGGUAAUACGUAGGGAGCAAGCGUUGUCCGGAUUUACUGGGUGUAAAGGGUGCGUAGGCGGCUAGGCAAGUCAGACGUGAAAACCAUGGGCUCAACCUGUGGACUGCGUUUGAAACUGUUUAGCUUGAGUGAAGUAGAGGUAGGCGGAAUUCCCGGUGUAGCGGUGAAAUGCGUAGAGAUCGGGAGGAACACCAGUGGCGAAGGCGGCCUACUGGGCUUUAACUGACGCUGAGGCACGAAAGCAUGGGUAGCAAACAGGAUUAGAUACCCUGGUAGUCCAUGCCGUAAACGAUGAUUACUAGGUGUGGGGGGUGUGACCCCCUCCGUGCCGGAGUUAACACAAUAAGUAAUCCACCUGGGGAGUACGGCCGCAAGGUUGAAACUCAAAGGAAUUGACGGGGGCCCGCACAAGCAGUGGAGUAUGUGGUUUAAUUUGAAGCAACGCGAAGAACCUUACCAGGUCUUGACAUCCGACUAACGAAGUAGAGAUACAUUAGGUGCCUUUCGGGGAAAGUCGAGACAGGUGGUGCAUGGUUGUCGUCAGCUCGUGUCGUGAGAUGUUGGGUUAAGUCCCGCAACGAGCGCAACCCUUGUCAUUAGUUGUUACGGUAAGAGCACUCUAAUGAGACUGCCGUUGACAAAACGGAGGAAGGUGGGGAGGACGUCAAAUCAUCAUGCCCCUUAUGACCUGGGGUACACACGUACUACAAUGGCCGUUAACAGAGGGAGGCAAUACCGCGAGGUGGAGCAAAACCCUAAAAACGGUCCCAGUUCGGAUUGUAGGGUGAAACUCGCCUACAUGAAGUUGGAAGUGCUAGUAAUCGCGGAUCAGCAUGCCGCGGUGAAUAAGUUCCCGGGCCGUGCACA
This 1080-nucleotide ribosomal RNA is filed under the name uncultured bacterium. RNAcentral's name for it is "bacterial SSU rRNA". It matches the Rfam family "Bacterial small subunit ribosomal RNA", at positions 289 to 1387 of the family's 1533-position model. The record is from RNAcentral.